UGGGGAAUUUUGCACAAUGGGGGGAACCUUGAUGCAGCGACGCCGCGUGAGGGAUGGAGGCCUUCGGGUUGUGAACCUCUUUCGCUCGUGUGCAAGCCGCUAUUUGGGUAGUGGUGAGUGUAGCGGGUAAAGAAGCGCCGGCUAACUACGUGCCAGCAGCCGCGGUAAUACGUAGGGCGCGAGCGUUGUCCGGAUUUAUUGGGCGUAAAGGGCUUGUAGGCGGUUUGUCGCGCCUGUCGUGUAAUCCUCUGGCUUAACUGGGGGUGUGCGGUGGGUACGGGCAGGCUUGAGUGCGGUAGGGGAGAUUGGAAUUCCUGGUGUAGCGGUGGAAUGCGCAGAUAUCAGGAGGAACAACGGAGGCGAAGGCGGGUCUCUGGGCCGUUACUGACGCUGAGGAGCGAAAGCGUGGGGAGCGAACAGG
RNAcentral lists this ribosomal RNA (421 nucleotides) under Fusobacteriota bacterium. Its description in RNAcentral is "Fusobacteria bacterium partial 16S ribosomal RNA". It matches the Rfam family "Bacterial small subunit ribosomal RNA", at positions 355 to 776 of the family's 1533-position model. The record is from RNAcentral. Lineage: Bacteria; Fusobacteriati; Fusobacteriota.